UGAUCCCUCGCGGGAGAGAUCGCCUGUGGAACCACCGGAAACGGAUGGGGACGCGGGCGGCGCCGAAGGAGCAACCGCCCCCGGAAACUCUCAGGCAAAAGGACCGCAAGGGGAUA
This 116-nucleotide non-coding RNA is filed under the name Azospirillum sp. RNAcentral describes it as "Glycine sequence". It matches the Rfam family "Glycine riboswitch aptamer". From Rfam's summary of the family: This family represents the bacterial glycine riboswitch. Glycine riboswitches usually consist of two metabolite-binding aptamers domains with similar structures in tandem. RNAcentral also lists the same sequence under 1 other name. The record is from RNAcentral. Lineage: Bacteria; Pseudomonadati; Pseudomonadota; Alphaproteobacteria; Rhodospirillales; Azospirillaceae.